Molecule: non-coding RNA, 28 nt
Filed under: Mus musculus (house mouse)
Lineage: Eukaryota; Metazoa; Chordata; Mammalia; Rodentia; Muridae
Source: RNAcentral
UGGUAUACCUGUGUCCUGAGGCUCCCAC